Molecule: ribosomal RNA, 253 nt
Filed under: uncultured bacterium
Lineage: Bacteria
Description: partial 16S ribosomal RNA
Rfam family: Bacterial small subunit ribosomal RNA
Source: RNAcentral
UACGUAGGGAGCAAGCGUUGUCCGGAAUCAUUGGGCGUAAAGCGCGCGUCGGUGGCCCUGUAAGUCCGCUCUGAAAGUCGAAGGCUCAACCUUCGAAAGCGGGUGGAUACUGCAGGGCUAGAGUCCGGAAGAGGCGAGUGGAAUUCCUGGUGUAGCGGUGGAAUGCGCAGAUAUCAGGAGGAACACCAACGGCGAAGGCAGCUCGCUGGGACGGUACUGACACUGAGGCGCGAAAGCGUGGGGAGCGAACAGG